GAUCACUCGGUUCAUACAUCGAUGAAGAACGCAGCAAAAUGCGUUAC
Molecule: ribosomal RNA, 47 nt
Filed under: Panagrolaimus superbus
Lineage: Eukaryota; Metazoa; Nematoda; Chromadorea; Rhabditida; Panagrolaimidae
Also listed under: 2 other names
Description: partial 5.8S ribosomal RNA
Rfam family: 5.8S ribosomal RNA
About the family: 5.8S ribosomal RNA (5.8S rRNA) is a component of the large subunit of the eukaryotic ribosome. It is transcribed by RNA polymerase I as part of the 45S precursor that also contains 18S and 28S rRNA.
Source: RNAcentral